CUUUCUUUGCUGGCGACCGGCGCACGGGUGAGUAACACGUAUCCAACCUGCCCUUUACUCGGGGAUAGCCUUUCGAAAGAAAGAUUAAUACCCGAUAGCAUAAUGAUUCCGCAUGGUUUCAUUAUUAAAGGAUUCCGGUAAAGGAUGGGGAUGCGUUCCAUUAGGUUGUUGGUGGGGUAACGGCCCACCAAGCCUUCGAUGGAUAGGGGUUCUGAGAGGAAGGUCCCCCACAUUGGUACUGAGACACGGACCAA
This 254-nucleotide ribosomal RNA is filed under the name uncultured bacterium. RNAcentral's name for it is "partial 16S ribosomal RNA". It matches the Rfam family "Bacterial small subunit ribosomal RNA", at positions 79 to 334 of the family's 1533-position model. The record is from RNAcentral.